Molecule: ribosomal RNA, 400 nt
Filed under: uncultured Spirochaeta sp.
Lineage: Bacteria; Pseudomonadati; Spirochaetota; Spirochaetia; Spirochaetales; Spirochaetaceae
Description: bacterial SSU rRNA
Rfam family: Bacterial small subunit ribosomal RNA
Source: RNAcentral
UUGACAUAUACAGGAAUGUUGUAGAGAUACAGCAGCCGCUUCGCGGUCUGUAUACAGGUGCUGCAUGGCUGUCGUCAGCUCGUGCUGUGAAGUGUUGGGUUAAGUCCCGCAACGAGCGCAACCCUAUCAUCUGUUGCCAGCAUUUAAGGUGGGGACUCAGAUGAGACUGCCGGUGACAAACCGGAGGAAGGUGGGGACGACGUCAAGUCAUCAUGGCCCUUAUGUCCUGGGCUACACACGUGCUACAAUGGCCGGUACAGAGUGAAGCGAAACCGCGAGGUGAAGCAAAACGCAGAAAGCCGGUCUCAGUACGGAUUGGAGUCUGAAACUCGACUUCAUGAAGUUGGAAUCGCUAGUAAUCGCGCAUCAGCAUGGCGCGGUGAAUACGUUCCCGGGCCUU